This 1498-nucleotide ribosomal RNA is filed under the name metagenome. Its description in RNAcentral is "bacterial SSU rRNA". It matches the Rfam family "Bacterial small subunit ribosomal RNA". The record is from RNAcentral.
AGAGUUUGAUCCUGGCUCAGAACGAACGCUGGCGGCGGGGCUUAGGCAUGCAAGUCGCGCGAGAAAGGGGCAACCCGAGUACAGCGGCGUAAGGGUGAGUAAUAGGUAGCUGACCUACCCUGGUGACGCGGAUAAUUCCUCGAAAGGGGUUGUAAUACGCGAUGAGACCACGGCUUCCACGGGAGCUGAGGUCAAAGGUCGGGGAUCCUUCGGGACCUGGCGCACUGGGAGGGGGCGACCUCUGAUUAGGUAGUUGGCGGGGUAACGGCCCACCAAGCCGAUGAUCAGUAACCGGGCUGAGAGGCUGUCCGGUCACACGGGAACUGAGACACUGUCCCGACUCCUACGGGAGGCUGCAGUCGCGAAUUUUUCACAAUGGGCGCAAGCCUGAUGAAGCCACGCCGUGUGCGGGAUGAAGGCCCUCUGGGUUGUAAACCGCCGUCAGGGAAGGGAAAACGCUGCGUGUUAACAGCGCGUAGUUUGAUUGCUUUCCAAAGGAAGCCCCGGCAAAACAUGUGCCAGCAGCCGCGGUAAUACAUGUGGGGCAAGCGUUGUUCGGAAUUACUGGGCAUAAAGGGUGCGUAGGCGGCUUGUUAAGUCAGGGGUGAAAUCCGGUGGCCCAACCAUCGAACUGCCUUUGAUACUGGCGAGCUUGAGUGCGUUAGGGGUGACUGGAACGCGUGGUGUAGCGGUGAAAUGCGUAGAUAUCACGCGGAAGGCCAAUGGCGAAGGCAGGUCACUGGGACGCAACUGACGCUGAGGCACGAAAGCGUGGGGAUCAAACAGGAUUAGAUACCCUGGUAGUCCACGCCGUAAACUAUGGGCACAAGGUUGGUGCGCUGCUUGGCGUGCUGGCCGUAGAUAAUUUGAUAAGUGCCCCGCCUGGGGAGUAUGGUCGCAAGGCUGAAACUCAAAGGAAUUGACGGGGGCUCACACAAGCGGUGGAGGAUGUGGUUUAAUUCGAAACAACGCGCAGAACCUUACCAAGUCUUGACAUGGAUGGAUUAGUCGUGCGAAAGCAUGGCGAUUACCCGCAAGGGUGUAACAUUCACAGGUGCUGCAUGGCUGUCGUCAGCUCGUGCCGUGAGGUGUUCGGUUAAGUCCUUUAACGAGCGAAACCCCUACGAUCAGUUGCCAACGGGUAAAGCCGGGAACUCUGAUCGGACUGCCGCGAAAGCUGGAGGAAGGAGGGGACGACGUCAAGUCAUCAUGGCCUUUAUGGCUUGGGCCACACACGUCCUACAAUGGGUUGUACAAAGCGCUGCAAGACCGCGAGGUCAAGCUAAUCGCCUAAAGCAACCCUCAGUUCAGAUUGUGGGCUGCAAUCCGCCCACAUGAAGCUGGAAUCGCUAGUAAUCGCGGAUCAGCCACGCCGCGGUGAAUCUGUUCCUGAGCCUUGUACACACCGCCCGUCAAGCCACCCGAAUUGGUAGUACCCGAAGUCAUAGUUCUAACCGCAAGGGAGUACGUGCCUAAGGUAAGACCGGUAAGGGGGACU